UUAGAACUGUCAACUUGUGUGAAUUUUUAGAGGGUCUUAACGACUUCAUUUGGGAAAACUUCCUUCAUGAGAGUUGUAGCCCUUCAAGUCUAGAAAAUUCUCCAAGUGGUUUCGUGUCGAUCCGAUAUCUGUAGCUCCAGAUAUCCCCGUUUUAGUGAACGUAGUUCCGGCUGUACAGUGCCAGCGGGAUUAUUACAUUGUUUUUCUUCUAAGUCCGAAUUUAAUUAUGAAUUUACCUUUGAGGGCUUAGGUUUUAGUAAGUUUCAGGUCUGAUUAGGUAAUUAGACUGGUGGGUUAAGGUUGGACUUGGGUCGGGCUUGUGGAAAACAAAACCCUAGCCCACUUGUGGGUUGCAUGGGAUUUUAGCCAAGGGGGGAAACCCUAUUCUUCCACAAUCAGAAAACAGAGAUACACUACAGCACCUUCACGUGAAAAACAAAGAGAGAACGUGUGAGAGAAGAGAAGGGAGCCGCCGCCCAAGCCACCACCAUUGUCGCCGGUCACGCGCGCGAGCAAGGGAGAGAGCGCGAAUAGAGAGGGUUUCGCGAAGGAGAAGGAAGGUGAAGGAGACCUGGACAGCAAGAGAUUGUUCUUCCAAACUUCACUCUCUUCUUCUUUUCAGACCAAGAACCCAAGAUGGUCGUGAAGAUAAUGGCGAUGACUCAUUCUUGGGAGUUGAUGCUACGUGACGUGCCAAUACCGGAGGACGACUACACUUCAGAGGAAGAGGAAGAGGCUAAGGAAUAGGGUUUUGGUUGAGAGUCUUUUGUUGUCUGUUGGGGUUGAGAGUUUCCGAAGUGUUGGUAUCGAACAAUAUUAUUGCUUAAAUUCGAAUGAACAAGUUUUGAUGUAAUCUUUAUUUUCAUUCAGGACUUUGAUUCGUACU
This is a long non-coding RNA of Lotus japonicus, 886 nucleotides long. RefSeq lists it as uncharacterized. The transcript has 2 exons. Lineage: Eukaryota; Viridiplantae; Streptophyta; Magnoliopsida; Fabales; Fabaceae. The record is from RefSeq and is a predicted model, not a curated record.